This 600-nucleotide ribosomal RNA is filed under the name uncultured bacterium. RNAcentral describes it as "bacterial SSU rRNA". It matches the Rfam family "Bacterial small subunit ribosomal RNA", at positions 832 to 1433 of the family's 1533-position model. The record is from RNAcentral.
UAAAGGCUCUAGUGGCGCAGCUAACGCGAUAAGUACUCCGCCUGGGGACUACGGCCGCAAGGCUAAAACUCAAAGGAAUUGACGGGGACCCGCACAAGCGGUGGAGCAUGUGGUUUAAUUCGAUGCAACGCGAAGAACCUUACCUGGUCUUGACAUCCUGCGAUCUUUCUAGAGAUAGAUUGGUGCCUUCGGGAACGCAGUGACAGGUGCUGCACGGCUGUCGUCAGCUCGUGUUGUGAAAUGUUGGGUUAAGUCCCGCAACGAGCGCAACCCCUAUUGAUAGUUACCAUCAUUAAGUUGGGUACUCUAUUGAGACUGCCGCUGACAAGGCGGAGGAAGGUGGGGACGACGUCAAGUCAUCAUGGCCUUUACGACCAGGGCUACACACGUGCUACAAUGGGUAUUACAGAGGGCUGCGAAGGAGCGAUCUGGAGCGAAACUCAAAAAGGUACUCUUAGUCCGGAUUGCAGUCUGCAACUCGACUGCAUGAAGUCGGAAUCGCUAGUAAUCGCAGGUCAGAAUACUGCGGUGAAUACGUUCUCGGGUCUUGUACACACCGCCCGUCACACCAUGGGAGUGGGUUGCUCCAGAAGUAGAUAG